Molecule: ribosomal RNA, 465 nt
Filed under: Vreelandella stevensii
Lineage: Bacteria; Pseudomonadati; Pseudomonadota; Gammaproteobacteria; Oceanospirillales; Halomonadaceae
Description: partial 16S ribosomal RNA
Rfam family: Bacterial small subunit ribosomal RNA
Source: RNAcentral
CCUACGGGUGGCAGCAGUGGGGAAUAUUGGACAAUGGGCGAAAGCCUGAUCCAGCCAUGCCGCGUGUGUGAAGAAGGCCUUCGGGUUGUAAAGCACUUUCAGUGGGGAAGAAAGCCUUGGGGCUAAUACCCUCGAGGAAGGACAUCACCCACAGAAGAAGCACCGGCUAACUCCGUGCCAGCAGCCGCGGUAAUACGGAGGGUGCGAGCGUUAAUCGGAAUUACUGGGCGUAAAGCGCGCGUAGGCGGUCUGAUAAGCCGGUUGUGAAAGCCCCGGGCUCAACCUGGGAACGGCAUCCGGAACUGUCAGGCUAGAGUGCAGGAGAGGAAGGUAGAAUUCCCGGUGUUGCGGUGAAAUGCGUAGAGAUCGGGAGGAAUACCAGUGGCGAAGGCGGCCUUCUGGACUGACACUGACGCUGAGGUGCGAAAGCGUGGGUAGCAAACAGGAUUAGAUCCCCCGGUAGUC